RNAcentral lists this unclassified non-coding RNA (321 nucleotides) under Hevea brasiliensis (rubber tree). Lineage: Eukaryota; Viridiplantae; Streptophyta; Magnoliopsida; Malpighiales; Euphorbiaceae. The record is from RNAcentral.
AGACAACUCUCCCUCCACGAGAAGCCUAACCAGUUCUUGAAGAAAAAUCCAUCUCACCAAAUCCUUCAUUGAACUAACAAAAAAGAAAAAGAAAGAAAGGAAAAAAAAAUCCUAAUUCAUUGUAAGCUUCUCUCUCUCUAUCUCUGUGUCUUUAUCUUGCUAGAUGUUUCUCUAUAUUUCCAUCCCUCUCCCUUCUCUUCUCUCACCAUUUGUCUCAUGCAUCCGUCUCGAAGGAAAAAUCCUCUCCUUUCCUCAGUAACAGUAGCCAUGAAGCACAAGAAAAACAGUAAUCUCUCUGUAUUUGUUGUGGUUUUUUCUGUU